This 830-nucleotide ribosomal RNA is filed under the name uncultured Ascomycota. RNAcentral's name for it is "SSU rRNA". It matches the Rfam family "Eukaryotic small subunit ribosomal RNA", at positions 564 to 1423 of the family's 1831-position model. The record is from RNAcentral. Lineage: Eukaryota; Fungi; Ascomycota.
GUGCCAGCCGCCGCGGUAAUUCCAGCUCCAAUAGCGUAUAUUAAAGUUGUUGUGGUUAAAAAGCUCGUAGUUGAACCUUGGGCCUGGCUGGCCGGUCCGCCUCACCGCGUGCACUGGUCCGGCCGGGCCUUUCCCUCUGUGGAACCCCAUACCCUUCACUGGGCGUGGCGGGGAAACAGGACAUUUACUUUGAAAAAAUUAGAGUGCUCCAGGCAGGCCUAUGCUCGAAUACAUUAGCAUGGAAUAAUAAAAUAGGACGCGCGGUUCUAUUUUGUUGGUUUAUAGGACCGCCGUAAUGAUUAAUAGGGACAGUCGGGGGCAUCAGUAUUCAACUGUCAGAGGUGAAAUUCUUGGAUCAGUUGAAGACUAACUACUGCGAAAGCAUUUGCCAAGGAUGUUUUCAUUAAUCAGGAGCGAAAGUUAGGGGAUCGAAGACGAUCAGAUACCGUCGUAGUCUUAACCAUAAACUAUGCCGACUAGGGAUCGGACGGUGUUAUUCAUGACCCGUUCGGCACCUUACGAGAAAUCAAAGUGCUUGGGCUCCAGGGGGAGUAUGGUCGCAAGGCUGAAACUUAAAGAAAUUGACGGAAGGGCACCACCAGGGGUGGAGCCUGCGGCUUAAUUUGACUCAACACGGGGAAACUCACCAGGUCCAGACACAAUAAGGAUUGACAGAUUGAGAGCUCUUUCUUGAUUUUGUGGGUGGUGGUGCAUGGCCGUUCUUAGUUGGUGGGGUGACUUGUCUGCUUAAUUGCGAUAACGAACGAGACCUUAACCUGCUAAAUAGCCCGCAUUGCUCCGGCAGUGCGCUGGCUUCUUAGAGGGACUUU